UACAGAGGUCUCAAGCGUUGUUCGGAUUCAUUGGGCGUAAAGGGCGCGUAGGCGGCGGGGUAAGUCGGGUGUGAAAUCUCAGAGCUCAACUCUGAAACUGCACUCGAUACUGCUCUGCUUGAGGACUGGAGAGGAGACUGGAAUUCACGGUGUAGCAGUGAAAUGCGUAGAUAUCGUGAGGAAGACCAGUGGCGAAGGCGGGUCUCUGGACAGUUCCUGACGCUGAGGCGCGAAAGCAUGUGGAGCGAACAGG
Molecule: ribosomal RNA, 253 nt
Filed under: uncultured bacterium
Lineage: Bacteria
Description: partial 16S ribosomal RNA
Rfam family: Bacterial small subunit ribosomal RNA
Source: RNAcentral